Molecule: ribosomal RNA, 1100 nt
Filed under: Chryseobacterium sp. M122
Lineage: Bacteria; Pseudomonadati; Bacteroidota; Flavobacteriia; Flavobacteriales; Weeksellaceae
Description: bacterial SSU rRNA
Rfam family: Bacterial small subunit ribosomal RNA
Source: RNAcentral
GAUGAACGCUAGCGGGAGGCCUAACACAUGCAAGCCGAGCGGUAGAGAUCUUUCGGGAUCUUGAGAGCGGCGUACGGGUGCGGAACACGUGUGCAACCUGCCUUUAUCUGGGGGAUAGCCUUUCGAAAGGAAGAUUAAUACCCCAUAAUAUACUGAAUGGCAUCAUUCGGUAUUGAAAACUCCGGUGGAUAGAGAUGGGCACGCGCAAGAUUAGAUAGUUGGUGAGGUAACGGCUCACCAAGUCUACGAUCUUUAGGGGGCCUGAGAGGGUGAUCCCCCACACUGGUACUGAGACACGGACCAGACUCCUACGGGAGGCAGCAGUGAGGAAUAUUGGACAAUGGGUGAGAGCCUGAUCCAGCCAUCCCGCGUGAAGGACGACGGCCCUAUGGGUUGUAAACUUCUUUUGUAUAGGGAUAAACCUACCCUCGUGAGGGUAGCUGAAGGUACUAUACGAAUAAGCACCGGCUAACUCCGUGCCAGCAGCCGCGGUAAUACGGAGGGUGCAAGCGUUAUCCGGAUUUAUUGGGUUUAAAGGGUCCGUAGGCGGAUCUGUAAGUCAGUGGUGAAAUCUCACAGCUUAACUGUGAAACUGCCAUUGAUACUGCAGGUCUUGAGUGUUGUUGAAGUAGCUGGAAUAAGUAGUGUAGCGGUGAAAUGCAUAGAUAUUACUUAGAACACCAAUUGCGAAGGCAGGUUACUAAGCAACAACUGACGCUGAUGGACGAAAGCGUGGGGAGCGAACAGGAUUAGAUACCCUGGUAGUCCACGCCGUAAACGAUGCCUAACUCGUUUUUGGANNGUAAGNUUCAGAGACUAAGCGAAAGUGAUAAGUUAGCCACCUGGGGAGUACGAACGCAAGUUUGAAACUCAAAGGAAUUGACGGGGGCCCGCACAAGCGGUGGAUUAUGUGGUUUAAUUCGAUGAUACGCGAGGAACCUUACCAAGGCUUAAAUGGGAAAUGACAGGUUUAGAAAUAGACUUUUCUUCGGACAUUUUUCAAGGUGCUGCAUGGUUGUCGUCAGCUCGUGCCGUGAGGUGUUAGGUUAAGUCCUGCAACGAGCGCAACCCCUGUCACUAGUUGCCAUCAUUAAGUUGGG